GGAGAGCUGUCCGAGUGGUCGAAGGUGCGUGAUUCGAAAUCACGUGUACCGAGAGGUACCAAGGGUUCGAAUCCCUUGCUCUCCGCCA
This 88-nucleotide transfer RNA is filed under the name Deltaproteobacteria bacterium. RNAcentral describes it as "tRNA-Ser". It matches the Rfam family "tRNA". Rfam says of the family: Transfer RNA (tRNA) molecules are approximately 80 nucleotides in length. Their secondary structure includes four short double-helical elements and three loops (D, anti-codon, and T loops). RNAcentral also lists the same sequence under 3 other names. Lineage: Bacteria; Pseudomonadati; Myxococcota; Myxococcia. The record is from RNAcentral.